This 419-nucleotide ribosomal RNA is filed under the name Siphonaria sp. UF 288552. Its description in RNAcentral is "partial 16S ribosomal RNA". It matches the Rfam family "Bacterial large subunit ribosomal RNA", at positions 1832 to 2596 of the family's 2925-position model. The record is from RNAcentral. Lineage: Eukaryota; Metazoa; Mollusca; Gastropoda; Siphonariida; Siphonariidae.
AGCCUGUAGCAAUAUUACCGGUGUAGCCUGCCCACUGCAUUGUAAACGGCCGCAGAACUUUAACUGUGCUAAGGUAGCGUAAUUAUUUGUCUUUUAAAUGGAGACUGAAUGAAUGGCUUAUUGGGGUAAAGCUGUCUCAAUGAGGGUUUAUAAAAAUUAAAAUAAAGGUGAAAAUUCCUUUAAAAGGAAAAAAGACGAGAAGACCCUAAGAGUUUUAAUUAAAAGAAGUAUAUUUCUUAGAUUUUUGUUGGGGCAACAAAGGAGUUAUUCUCCUAUUUAUGACUUGUAAUUAUUUAGAAAGAAUAAACUACCUUAGGGAUAACAGCACAAUCUGUUUUGGGUUUGUGACCUCGAUGUUGGACUAGGUAUUGCUUUCUCCAAAAGAGAAAUGUUAUGGUUCUGUUCGAACAAAAUUACCU